UCGGAUGGAUUUAAUAGAAGUGUGUCCGAGUAAUUGUGUAUUUGCAGUAAGCAACUGCAUCAAAGCAAUUCAAACAACUGGAUUAAAUUCCGACAAACAAAUGGAAGGAGAGAGAAAUAAAGAAGCCAUUUUCGGUUUGUGAGAUGGAAGGAGAUGAGAGAAAUAGAGAAGAGAUAGGAAGUUGGUUAUGGAGGAGAGAAAGAAGGAAAAAAGACCAGAUAUUGGGGAAGAUGAAAAGAAAAUGACUUAAAUACCCCUCUAG
This 262-nucleotide long non-coding RNA is filed under the name Panax ginseng (ginseng). RNAcentral's name for it is "long non-coding RNA (PGIN_LNC014321)". The record is from RNAcentral. Lineage: Eukaryota; Viridiplantae; Streptophyta; Magnoliopsida; Apiales; Araliaceae.